UUUUUUCUUCGAUUAUAUUUCUAAAUCAAAAAAAUAUAUAAUAUUUAUUAAAAAUUAAAAUAAAAUACAACACGUAUUUCCAUAAAAUUUAUUAUUUAUAGUAAUGAAAUUCUUAUAGUGCUACUACUGCCAAACUCGGGUCCACCUUCGACACCACCAUCCCCUCCCCCAAAACAACUAUAUUUAAAAGAGAUAAUUGAGUUCUUUAAACAUCUAAUGUACAAUAUUUUCAAAACAUCAUAAAGAACACAACUCUCUUAUAAUCAUCUUCUAUGUUCCUUUUUCUAUUCAUCUUUAGUUUAUUAUCCAUUAUAAGUAUUGUAUACAUGUAAUCUGAGACAUUAAAGGAUAUCAAAAAAUCAAUCAAAAUAUCUUUAAUUUUUUUUAGCUACUUGUUUCUUUUAUUUAUUUUUUAAUCAUAAUUUCUUAGCUUUUUGUUCUAGAGUCUAUCAAAUAACUUGUGGAAUAACUUCACUUAUAAUUUUAGUAGUUGCAACACGGAUUUCCAUUAAUUUAAACAUACAGUAUUACUAAUAAAAAACUCUUCACGAUACUUUGAAUUGUUGAUCAAUUUGAAACCAACAUGUAUAGUAGCUAUAUCCUAUGAGGGGUUACAUGAAGUAAUCACAGCUAAUGCAUCAUUUUAGAUAGCUUAUUUUUGAUCUAACAAUACACACUAACCUGUUGCACCAUAUUUGGAAGUUAAAUUUUAUCAAAAAACAAU
This 724-nucleotide long non-coding RNA is filed under the name Lathyrus oleraceus (garden pea). RNAcentral describes it as "Pisum sativum (pea) long non-coding RNA (PSAT_LNC021070)". The record is from RNAcentral. Lineage: Eukaryota; Viridiplantae; Streptophyta; Magnoliopsida; Fabales; Fabaceae.